AGCAACGCCCAAAACCUCAUUGCAGCACAACAAUGGGGAGUAAGAAAAGCCCCAGGUCUCUCAAAAUGCCCACAAGGCUUUGUCAGAAAUUGCGCUGGAAGUCUAGUGGGAAAUGCCCUUGUAUCUGUGUUUGUGUGCAGAAGAUGGCCCUUAUUCUUUAGCUAAUGAUCAGAAAUUUUUUUACUAGACCUACAUUAUGUCAAAAGGUUCUAACUCUUCUGUGCAGGGGAUAUCAUAAAGGACAGAAUCAAUCAUUGCUACAAAAGCAGACAAACCAAACAUAUGCAUGGCACAUUCUUGCAAACCAGGCGCCGGGAACCUGCAACCCUUGGGGUUUGUGUGUAGGUGACAGAGCACUGGCUUUUCUGUGGACUCCUCAUUUCCCUUCCUGGGACUCAACUCUGUAGUUUUUCCCCAGAGGGAAUUGGAUCCACCCAAAAGACCUGGAAAGAGAAGGAGAGACAGAAAAAGAGAAAAAGGAAGGAGGGAAGAAAAAGAGUUUUC
RNAcentral lists this long non-coding RNA (504 nucleotides) under Homo sapiens (human). RNAcentral's name for it is "HSALNT0170031". The record is from RNAcentral. Lineage: Eukaryota; Metazoa; Chordata; Mammalia; Primates; Hominidae.